RNAcentral lists this ribosomal RNA (496 nucleotides) under uncultured bacterium. Its description in RNAcentral is "partial 16S ribosomal RNA". It matches the Rfam family "Bacterial small subunit ribosomal RNA", at positions 28 to 506 of the family's 1533-position model. The record is from RNAcentral.
GAUGAACGCUGGCGGCGUGCCUAAUACAUGCAAGUCGAGCGAACAGACGAGGAGCUUGCUCCUCUGACGUUAGCGGCGGACGGGUGAGUAACACGUGGAUAACCUACCUAUAAGACUGGGAUAACUUCGGGAAACCGGAGCUAAUACCGGAUAAUAUAUUGAACCGCAUGGUUCAAUAGUGAAAGACGGUUUUGCUGUAACUUAUAGAUGGCUCCGCGCCGCAUUAGCUAGUUGGUAAGGUAACGGCUUACCAAGGCAACGAUGCGUAGCCGACCUGAGAGGGUGAUCGGCCACACUGGAACUGAGACACGGUCCAGACUCCUACGGGAGGCAGCAGUAGGGAAUCUGCCGCAAUGGGCGAAAGCCUGACGGAGCAACGGCGCGUGAGUGAUGAGGGUCUUCGGAUCGUAAAACUCUGGUAUUAGGGAAGAACAAAUGUGUAAGUAACGAUGCACGUCUGGACGGUACCUAAUCAGAAAGCCACGGCUAACUACGU